GUGCUUGAAAUUAACUGAUUAGGUAAGACCCUACUUUGUGGCAUCCUUAGCCUCUCCUGCUUUACCCUCCGCGAACUCUGCCGCCUUGUUUGCGGCUUCUUUUCCUUUCUCCUCCACAUACGCCGCAGCUUUCUCAGCUUCUUUACCCAAUGUAUCUGCGGUUUCACUGUUUUUUUCAACAACGUAGUCUUUCGCUUUCUCACCAUCUGCUAAUGCCUCUUUUGUUUUAUCCGUCACGAAAUCUGAAGCUUUCUUUCUAUAUCAUUUUCAAAUUAAAAUUUAUUUUAGUAUUUAUCAAAGGUUUCAAAACACAUAUCCAAAAGUAGUCAACAGAAUCAUCAAAUAAACUUAGAGCUAUACAUGUAAACUAGAAAAAUAGAGAUAUAUAAUGUACGGUAUAUGAAUCUUUAUCUUUGAUAAUAGUCAAAUAUGAUCAUAAAAUAAGUUCAAAACAAACAUAUUUCCACUAAAAUCUAUACUAAUAUAGUAUACCAUAAACAUUGCCUGCUAAGAUCCUUACUUAUGAGGCAAGAUACUAAAAGAAGAAAGAAUGUAGACUUACGUGGCCUCGUUGAGGUCAUCGAGGAUGUUGCCGUCACCUUUAGCGGCGUAGAUCAACGACUUCUUGCGUUGAGAAACGACGACGAACUGAGUUUUCUGGCCGACUCUGACAGCGCCGAAGCUGCUCUGCUUGGCUCCGCUGUGGAAAGAAGAAGCCAUACCAGUGAGAACAGCUCCUGAGAAAGAC
This 748-nucleotide long non-coding RNA is filed under the name Arabidopsis thaliana (thale cress). RNAcentral's name for it is "long non-coding RNA (ATHA_LNC000041)". Lineage: Eukaryota; Viridiplantae; Streptophyta; Magnoliopsida; Brassicales; Brassicaceae. The record is from RNAcentral.